CGACCGGCGCACGGGUGAGUAACGCGUAUGUAAUCUACCUGUAACAGAGGGAUAACCCGGAGAAAUCCGGACUAAUACCUCAUAGCACAUAUUAUUCGCAUGAAUUUUAUGUUAAAGAGACUCGGUUACAGAUGAACAUGCGUUCCAUUAGCUAGUUGGCGGGGUUACGGCCCACCAAGGCAACGAUGGAUAGGGGUUCUGAGAGGAAGGUCCCCCACACUGGUACCGAGACACGGACCAG
This 241-nucleotide ribosomal RNA is filed under the name uncultured bacterium. RNAcentral describes it as "partial 16S ribosomal RNA". It matches the Rfam family "Bacterial small subunit ribosomal RNA", at positions 92 to 334 of the family's 1533-position model. The record is from RNAcentral.